Molecule: long non-coding RNA, 658 nt
Organism: Oppia nitens
Lineage: Eukaryota; Metazoa; Arthropoda; Arachnida; Sarcoptiformes; Oppiidae
Exons: 3
Source: RefSeq, a predicted model, not a curated record
GUGUUGAGAUCUUCACCAAAGCAGACACACAUAGACUGAGUUUUACUAUUAUUGUAAGCUUUAAUGUAUUGUAUAUACCGAGAGAAUAGUUGAUUCUUGCAGUAUAUUUGAAUCUCCCAUUCCUUUCGUGAAUUGUUGUUUGCAUUGUAGUAACUGUCGAUUCAAGUGGUCAUUCAGUUUGGUCUUCAAGAGCGCUCUCUUUUGACUAACAGUGCUCUUCAAGAUUUAUAAACUUUGAAUUUGAUUAUCAUUUUAAUUAUUGAAUUUAUUGGUGACUGUGCACUGCUGUGCUAUAUGUGCUCUUUUUAUGUGUCGCGUUGUGAGAGGAUUAACAAAAAAUAAACUUUUUAAAGCAAUUGUGUGCCAAAACAUCAGGACAUAGAAAGAAGGAAACGAUUUCCAAACACUUAAUAUCUAUUUAGUGCUAAGAUUUUUAGAGUACUUUACUUAUAUUGAAUCCGAACCACAACACGACAUUCCCCAUCAAUACAAAUGGAAAUGGAUUUUAAGUGUAUUUAAGUGAACACACAAUUGCAUUGAUUAUUGCUAUCCUCUAAUUCAAAAUAACAAUAAUAUAAAGCAAACAACUUGGCAAACAUAAAACAACACACAAAGUGGUACAUAUAUUAAAUUUGUAAAAAAUAUUCAUUGGCGGCUA